GACGUAGGGCGCGAGCGUUGUCCGGAUUUAUUGGGCGUAAAGAGCGUGUAGGCGGCCAGGUAGGUCUGCUGUGAAAACUCGAGGCUUAACCUCGAGACGUCGGUUGAAACCACCUGGCUAGAGUCCGGAAGAGGAGAGUGGAAUUCCCGGUGUAGCGGUGAAAUGCGCAGAUAUCGGGAAGAACACCCGUGGCGAAGGCGGCUCUCUGGGACGGUACUGACGCUGAGACGCGAAAGCGUGGGGAGCGAACAGG
This 253-nucleotide ribosomal RNA is filed under the name uncultured bacterium. Its description in RNAcentral is "partial 16S ribosomal RNA". It matches the Rfam family "Bacterial small subunit ribosomal RNA", at positions 524 to 776 of the family's 1533-position model. The record is from RNAcentral.